UACGUAGGGGGCAAGCGUUAUCCGGAAUUACUGGGUGUAAAGGGAGCGUAGACGGCGAGACAAGUCUGGAGUGAAAGGCCGGGGCCCAACCCCGGGACUGCUCUGGAAACUGCCUGGCUGGAGUACAGGAGAGGUAAGUGGAAUUCCUAGUGUAGCGGUGAAAUGCGUAGAUAUUAGGAGGAACACCAGUGGCGAAGGCGGCUUACUGGACUGUAACUGACGUUGAGGCUCGAAAGCGUGGGGAGCAA
RNAcentral lists this ribosomal RNA (248 nucleotides) under uncultured Lachnospiraceae bacterium. RNAcentral describes it as "partial 16S ribosomal RNA". It matches the Rfam family "Bacterial small subunit ribosomal RNA", at positions 524 to 771 of the family's 1533-position model. The record is from RNAcentral. Lineage: Bacteria; Bacillati; Bacillota; Clostridia; Lachnospirales; Lachnospiraceae.